This 832-nucleotide ribosomal RNA is filed under the name uncultured bacterium. Its description in RNAcentral is "bacterial SSU rRNA". It matches the Rfam family "Bacterial small subunit ribosomal RNA", at positions 62 to 853 of the family's 1533-position model. The record is from RNAcentral.
UCGAGCGAGUCUGCCUUGAAGAUCGGAGUGCUUGCACUCUGUGAAACAAGAUACAGGCUAGCGGCGGACGGGUGAGUAACACGUGGGUAACCUGCCCAAGAGAUCGGGAUAACACCUGGAAACAGAUGCUAAUACCGGAUAACAACAGAUGAUGCCUAUCAACUGUUUAAAAGAUGGUUCUGCUAUCACUCUUGGAUGGACCUGCGGUGCAUUAGCUAGUUGGUAGGGUAACGGCCUACCAAGGCGAUGAUGCAUAGCCGAGUUGAGAGACUGAUCGGCCACAUUGGGACUGAGACACGGCCCAAACUCCUACGGGAGGCAGCAGUAGGGAAUCUUCCACAAUGGACGCAAGUCUGAUGGAGCAACGCCGCGUGAGUGAAGAAGGGUUUCGGCUCGUAAAGCUCUGUUGUUGGUGAAGAAGGACAGGGGUAGUAACUGACCUUUGUUUGACGGUAAUCAAUUAGAAAGUCACGGCUAACUACGUGCCAGCAGCCGCGGUAAUACGUAGGUGGCAAGCGUUGUCCGGAUUUAUUGGGCGUAAAGCGAGUGCAGGCGGUUCGAUAAGUCUGAUGUGAAAGCCUUCGGCUCAACCGGAGAAUUGCAUCAGAAACUGUCGAGCUUGAGUACAGAAGAGGAGAGUGGAACUCCAUGUGUAGCGGUGAAAUGCGUAGAUAUAUGGAAGAACACCGGCGGCGAAGGCGGCUCUCUGGUCUGUUACUGACGCUGAGGCUCGAAAGCAUGGGUAGCGAACAGGAUUAGAUACCCUGGUAGUCCAUGCCGUANACGAUGAGUGCUAAGUGUUGGGAGGUUUCCGCCUCUCAGUGCUGCAGCU